GCAAACUUGGUCAUUUAGAGGAAGUAAAAGUCGUAACAAGGUUUCCGUAGGUGAACCUGCGGAAGGAUCAUUAACGUAUCUCUGGCGGGUGCCGGUCGCGCCCUGCUCCGGCCCGCAAGGCCGUGCAGCGGGUGCCCGCUCCCCGUCCAACCUUUGCAAACCACCGUGCACAUUCACGGCAGAGGGCCCGUUCUCUCCCCGCCUGCGUUGCGCCCCCUGUGGGGUGUCGGGUGGGGGGUUGGGUCGGCCUGAAGCCGCUUCACCUAAAACUCCAGUAUUGAACGAAUGUUGAUGCGGCCGCUGUGUCGCCUAACAAAUGUAACAACUUUCAACAACGGAUCUCUUGGCUCUCGCAUCGAUGAAGAACGCAGC
This 372-nucleotide unclassified non-coding RNA is filed under the name uncultured fungus. RNAcentral describes it as "partial contains small subunit ribosomal RNA, internal transcribed spacer 1, and 5.8S ribosomal RNA". The stretch from base 1 to 73 matches the Rfam family "Eukaryotic small subunit ribosomal RNA", at positions 1759 to 1831 of the family's 1831-position model. The record is from RNAcentral. Lineage: Eukaryota; Fungi.